UGUACCCUCCUUAGCUAAAAAAAAUUAGGUCACUCUCCCUCCCAAAUCGCUCUCAGCCUCUCUCUCACUCCCCAUCGCUCUCAGCCUCAAUCCCGCUCACCCUCUCACCCUUGUCGAGCCUCUCAGCCUCACUGUCACUCAGCCUCGUCUCUCUCCGUCGCGCGCGCCUUCAGUCUCUCCACCACGGGUUCUCUCUCCGUCAGUCUCCCUCAGUCGCGACUCCAUAUCUCUCUCUCUCUCUCUCUCUCUCUCCCCCUCCCCCUUGAGGAUCCACGGGUUCACUCUUCAGCCUCCAUCUCUCUCUCCUUGUAAGUUCUUCUCUUUUCAGAUUCAGUUCAAUUGUUUGUUUUAUUUCAUUGGGCUUUGAAGUUUACUGAUAUGAUUGGGUUUAUUGCAAAAAUCUCAACUCUUCCCCGUCUUCUUCUAUUGGUCUAUCAAAUUUCGUGAAACGGGUUGGGUGCACCGGCGUUGUGUUUUUGGUUGAGGAGAAAGAUGAACGACUCAGAUUGUAAUUUUUAAUAAUAAAAUUCAGGAAACAUUGGGAAUGUGCCGCUUGUUCUGAUUGCAUGUAGAGACUCAUCCAACCCUUUUGGUGACUCGACAACAUGUAGCACAAAUGGGACUGCCUAUAUUUCGUUUGGCCAGUGGGUCCUCUACAGAAUUUUGGAUUACUUCAGCAAACUUGUUUCGGAGAACUAUUGUGCAAGUUUAAAUGGAGCAGUUUGCAAGUCCUCCUUUGCUUGAUAUUGUGGUAGUUUGGCAGCUGUGGUUUUGAAGGUUGCUGAAAUUAGCAGAGCACUACGACCUGGUGGGGUGUUUGUUGCAACAACUUAUAUACUUAACGGUCAGUCAGUUUGCCUUUGUCCCAUUUUAGAGGGAAGGUACCAAGGUAUAUCCUUUAAACUCAGAACCUGCACCAUUCCAGUGUUUGGGAUUCUUCUCAGUGUGCCUCAUGGUUUGGGAUUAUAUUUAUACUUGAAAUUAGUUUUUUCUUUUUUUUUUUCCUCACAAAAUCAUUGUUCAUUUAUUGUAUAUUUAUCUUUGAUGUAGGUUCUUAGGUCCUCCAAUUGAAAACAUGAUUUAUGAACUAACAGAUAAGUUAUGUCCUAUAUGAUUUUUUUCUUUGAACUUGCAGUGUACAUUUGUGGGGCAUUCAUAGAGGAGUCCUUGAGGAAUCAAUUACAGCCUACAAAAUUUGGUGGAGUUCAAAGUCUUGAACUUGCAUGCUACUCAAAGAAGACUUGGUAAUUUUAGAUGAGGUUAUCAAUCGAGACUGCAAAUAAUGUUGUUUUGUUGGAAAUAACUGCUGUCUAACACUUGAAGCCCUUUCUCUUUAACAGAAUAUAUGAAGAUAUGCAUUGAUGAUGCACUGGGUGCAUUGGGUUUAGGGACUUAUUUUGGUAACCUUGAUUUUACAACAAGCUAGAUAAGACAAUAUGAUCGACUUGCUGUAACCUUGAUUUUACAAGAUAAACAGUAUUAUUACUUGCUAGAUUGAGGUUACUUUUGGUUAGGAUUGCUAGAUAUGUUUUGGAUUGCCAAUGUAAGAAACAGAUGGCAUUGAUAUAUGACAAUGUUUUAUUUUGGAUU
Molecule: long non-coding RNA, 1590 nt
Organism: Rosa rugosa (rugosa rose)
Lineage: Eukaryota; Viridiplantae; Streptophyta; Magnoliopsida; Rosales; Rosaceae
Exons: 6
Source: RefSeq, a predicted model, not a curated record